AGGAAGGAAGGAAGGAAGGAACAACUAGCUGAAAGAAUGCCAGAGCUUUAGACAUGGUUAACUGUGACAGUAAAUAAAGCAGCACAGAGUGUGGUAGGCAGACAAAUGGCCGCCCCAAGAUGGCCACUUUCUAAUCUCCGGAACCUGUGAAUAUGUUGCCUUAUGUGGCAAAAGGGACUGCGCAGAUGUGGAAAAGUUAGGGAUCACCAGGUGAGGAGCUUAUCUGGGAUGAUCCAAAUGGAUCCAAUGUCAUGCCCAGGGUCCUGGUAAAUAAGGAGGGAGGCAGGAGAGUCAGGGAAGGAGACGCGAGGGCGGAAGCGGAAGGCGGAGGGAUGCGAGGGCUGGCGUCGAUACUGGAGGGACAUCGGCAGCCCCUAGAGGCCUGAAACGGCCAGGAAGCAGAAAGCAGCCCUGUCGACGCUUGAUUUCAGCCUCCUGAGACCCGUUUCAGGCUUCUGACCUCCAGAACGUCUGCCAUCAGAUGAGGUUUGCACUAGAAUGUCAAUCAACUAUUUCACUAAGCACAUCGUUUAGUUCCUGACUUUUUUUCAGACCAAGACUUCUUGAUGAAAAGAGUUUGUAUAAGAUUUUGCAUAAGCAAGGAGUCCAUUUGGUUUGGAAGUAGUUGACCCAUCCUAGUAGCAGGAGUGGGCACAGAAUCCAGGCUGCCUCAUCUGAUCAUCUUCUGACCUUGAUUGGUGCAAGCGAUGGGAAGGUAGCCCAGCCAGGCUGAUGAAGUGCAAGCCACAGACUUUUACUGGAUGUAUUGGGAGGCACACAUUUUCUUUGGUACUGGAAAAUGGAAGAGGAAAGUGUAAUGAGAUUGCCAGAUAUUGUUAAUUUUUGAAGCUAUGUGAAGGGACACUUGGGGUUCAUUACCCAACUUUUCCGUUUGUUUGAAAAUUUUGUAAUAAAGAAAAUUUUAAUACGCACACAAAAA
Molecule: non-coding RNA, 940 nt
Organism: Equus caballus (horse)
Lineage: Eukaryota; Metazoa; Chordata; Mammalia; Perissodactyla; Equidae
Source: RefSeq, a predicted model, not a curated record